This 31-nucleotide non-coding RNA is filed under the name Rattus norvegicus (Norway rat). The record is from RNAcentral. Lineage: Eukaryota; Metazoa; Chordata; Mammalia; Rodentia; Muridae.
AAGCAUUUAUCUCCCCUUUGCUCUCACUGGU